UACGUAGGUGGCAAGCGUUGUCCGGAUUUACUGGGCGUAAAGCGUGCGCAGGCGGCUUUGCAAGACAGAUGUGAAAUCCCCGGGCUUAACCUGGGAACUGCAUUUGUGACUGCAUGGCUAGAGUGCGGCAGAGGGGGAUGGAAUUCCGCGUGUAGCAGUGAAAUGCGUAGAUAUGCGGAGGAACACCGAUGGCGAAGGCAAUCCCCUGGGCCUGCACUGACGCUCAUGCACGAGAGCGUGGGGAGCAAACAGG
Molecule: ribosomal RNA, 253 nt
Filed under: uncultured bacterium
Lineage: Bacteria
Description: partial 16S ribosomal RNA
Rfam family: Bacterial small subunit ribosomal RNA
Source: RNAcentral